GAAUCUGCAUCACACCUCCUAUUCCAAUGCAGAUUUUCCCAACGUGUUUGGGCUAAUGUGGCUUCAUGGAUCGGCAUAAACAGUGCUGUAGUUGCAGGCUGGCGUCACGAAAUUUCUGUAAAGGAAUGGUGGUUCAAGACUAUCCUAGAUAGGGCCCCCCCGAGGAAGGCUCUGGCCUCCAUGCUCAUGCUUGUUUCCUGGGAACUCUGGAAUGAGCGCAAUGCAAGAGUUUUUAGGAAUGCCGCUACCACGGUGAUCAUGAUCACUGCUAGGAUAAAGGAGGAGGCUCGUAUUUGGGCGCUUGCAGGCGCUAGGCACCUCUGUAAUGUAAUGCCGCGAGAGUAG
This 345-nucleotide ribosomal RNA is filed under the name Triticum aestivum (bread wheat). RNAcentral describes it as "partial small subunit ribosomal RNA". Lineage: Eukaryota; Viridiplantae; Streptophyta; Magnoliopsida; Poales; Poaceae. The record is from RNAcentral.